Molecule: long non-coding RNA, 485 nt
Filed under: Numida meleagris (helmeted guineafowl)
Lineage: Eukaryota; Metazoa; Chordata; Aves; Galliformes; Numididae
Description: lncRNA (ENSNMEG00000013724.1)
Source: RNAcentral
ACAAAAGGAGCAGUGACAUUCUCUUUUGAAACUAAGAAUACAGCCUAGUUAUGCAAACCUUAAUUGCUGCCUUAACAAAACACAGGUUUGGAUUGUUUUAAUUGGAUUGGAAAUAUGCUCUCCCUGCCCCCUGUGUCAUCAACUAAAUUAACACCUGGUUGUAAAUGCUCCCCUGCAGACAACACAAAUACUGAGUUUGGAGUCUAUGGAAUAUGUCUGAGGAAACACUUGGGCUUUGUGGACCAAGCUCUCAUUUUGCUGCAUCGUGUUAUGGCCUUCCCUAUUGGAAAUCUAAUCAGACUAAGAACGUGAUGUCCUCACAGAAUGAAAGCAGUGUUUUUGAAAUAUGCAUCCUUCCAACACUUCCCCAGCAAACCAAAGCAAGUUUAAUUUCUCUGUUGUUUGUUUAUCAUAGCAAUGUCACUGUUGCUGUCAUGAUAUUCCCAAUGCAUUAACAUCUCUUUAUCUUUUAUAUAAAAGAAUGG